RNAcentral lists this long non-coding RNA (322 nucleotides) under Capsicum annuum. RNAcentral describes it as "long non-coding RNA (CANN_LNC022389)". The record is from RNAcentral. Lineage: Eukaryota; Viridiplantae; Streptophyta; Magnoliopsida; Solanales; Solanaceae.
AAAUGCUCGCAAGUCUGAAUCAUCUUCUUUGGGAUCCUAGUCAAAAAAUUUUGGGAUGCUCUUUGAAGCAUACCUGCUCGUUGUUCAGUCUCAGAUGGAACUCGCUUUGGGAAGGUGAUUUGGGACUUAUUUGCUUAAAUUGUAACAAAAAUAAGAGGUUAUAGCAGUUCAGCUAUAAAAGAAUGAAUCAUGAAUAUUUGCAGGUGUGAAAAUACACUUACCACCAUUGAGAGAGCUGGACAGAUUGACCCUCGAAGUGUUGAAGUUUCAGUUUUAUUGAAGAAUGUGAGAUUCAAGGGAUGAGCUCGUGCCCGCGGCAAUA